This 433-nucleotide ribosomal RNA is filed under the name uncultured bacterium. RNAcentral's name for it is "partial 16S ribosomal RNA". It matches the Rfam family "Bacterial small subunit ribosomal RNA", at positions 29 to 507 of the family's 1533-position model. The record is from RNAcentral.
AACGAACGCUGGCGGCAUGCCUAACACAUGCAAGUCGAACGAGACCUUCGGGUCUAGUGGCGCACGGGUGCGUAACGCGUGGGAACCUGCCCUUAGGUUCGGAAUAACUCCCCGAAAGGGGUGCUAAUACCGGAUAAUGUCUUCGGACCAAAGAUUUAUCGCCUUUGGAUGGGCCCGCGUUGGAUUAGCUAGUUGGUAGGGUAAAAGCCUACCAAGGCGACGAUCCAUAGCUGGUCUGAGAGGAUGAUCAGCCACACUGGGACUGAGACACGGCCCAGACUCCUACGGGAGGCGGCAGUGGGGAAUAUUGGACAAGGGGCGAAAGCCUGAUCCAGCAAUGCCGCGUGAGUGAUGAAGGCCUUAGGGUUGUAAAGCUCUUUUACCCGGGAUGAUAAUGACAGUACCGGGAGAAUAAGCUCCGGCUAACUCCGUG